UACGGAAGGCAGCAGUGGGGAAUAUUGCACAAUGGGCGAAAGCCUGAUGCAGCUAUGCCGCGUGUAUGAAGAAGGCCUUAGGGUUGUAAAGUACUUUCAUCGGGGAGGAAAAAACAAAACUAAUAAUUUUAUUUCUUGACGUUACCCGAAAAAGAAGCACCGGCUAACUCCGUGCCAGCAGCCGCGGUAAUACGGAGGGUGCUAGCGUUAAUCAGAAUUACUGGGCGUAAAGAGCACGUAGGUGGUUUUUUUAAAGUCAGAUGUGAAAUCCCUGGGCUUAACCUAGGAACUGCAUUUUGAAACUGAAAUACUAGAGUAUCGUAGAGGGAGGUAGAAUUCUAGGUGUAGCGGUGAAAUGCGUAGAUAUCUGGAGGAAUACUUGUGGCGAAAGCGGCCUCCUAAACGAAUACUGACACUGAGGGUGCGAAAGCGUGGGGAGCAAACAGGGAUUAGAUACC
RNAcentral lists this ribosomal RNA (458 nucleotides) under uncultured bacterium. RNAcentral's name for it is "bacterial SSU rRNA". It matches the Rfam family "Bacterial small subunit ribosomal RNA", at positions 340 to 786 of the family's 1533-position model. The record is from RNAcentral.